UUCUUAUAGGAUUAAAAUUAUAAGUAAGGCCUGCUCUAUGAAUAUUCAAUAGCGGUUUUACCCUAAGGUAGCAUAAUCAUUAGCCUUUUAAUUAGAGGAUAGUAUGAAAGGUUGAACGUAAAUAUCUUGUCCUUGUUUUAUAAAAUCGAAAUUAGUUUAAAUAUAAAAAAAUCUUUAUUUACUUUAGGGACAAGAAGACCCCAUAAAGCUUUAUUAUUAGUCUAAAAUAUUUUAUUACUUAUAAUUUAAUUGGGGCAAUUCUACUUAUCUUAACUUAUAGAAAAAUUUAUUUGAUCCAUCAUUGAUGACCAUUUGAAUAAGUUACUUUGGGGAUAACAGCAUAAUUAAAAUUAGAAAGUCCUUAUUGAUAAUUUUGCUUAUGACCUCGAUGUUGGAUUAUAAUUCUAUUAAGUGCAGAAGCUUAUUAAGAAAGUCUGUUCGACUUUUGAAUAUAUACA
Molecule: ribosomal RNA, 458 nt
Filed under: Paramiopsalis ramulosus
Lineage: Eukaryota; Metazoa; Arthropoda; Arachnida; Opiliones; Sironidae
Description: partial 16S ribosomal RNA
Source: RNAcentral